UGGGGAAUAUUGCGCAAUGGGGGAAACCCUGACGCAGCAACGCCGCGUGCGGGAUGAAGGCCUUCGGGUUGUAAACCGCUUUCAGCAGGGAAGAUCCAAGACGGUACCUGCAGAAGAAGCCCCGGCUAACUACGUGCCAGCAGCCGCGGUAAUACGUAGGGGGCGAGCGUUAUCCGGAUUCAUUGGGCGUAAAGCGCGCGCAGGCGGGUUGCUAAGCGGGACCUCUAAUCUCAGGGCUCAACCUUGAGCCGGGUCCCGAACUGGCAGCCUCGGGUUCGGUAGGGGAGAUCGGAAUUCCCGGUGUAGCGGUGGAAUGCGCAGAUAUCGGGAAGAACACCGAUGGCGAAGGCAGAUCUCUGGGCCGCAACCGACGCUGAGGCGCGAAAGCUAGGGGAGCGAACAGG
RNAcentral lists this ribosomal RNA (404 nucleotides) under uncultured bacterium. RNAcentral describes it as "bacterial SSU rRNA". It matches the Rfam family "Bacterial small subunit ribosomal RNA", at positions 355 to 776 of the family's 1533-position model. The record is from RNAcentral.